UAGAAACACUUAGCUAUAUAGCCUUGUCAAAGAGAGGCAACAGCCUGUUUGGAACCAGUCAUCUUUAGUCGCUAUUUCGUACCAGGCAUUGUUGGAUGUCUAUAUCCAAGAACAGUGUGCUGCAGUAUAUCCCAAUUCUAUUUAGAAUAAGACUGAGAAACUAGCAGCAUUCUGGUCAUUCAAACCAAUUAUGGUGUAUCCACCUACUAACUAAGGUGAUAUGGCCAGGAGGUGAAUAGCUUAGAAUAUAAAUAUCGCUUAGAAUAUAAAUAUCACUAAAUUGCUGGAAACAUAGCAACAGUCUGUUCUAAUGUGGAUAAUCCCAUAAAUCUUAGAGAACGAGUGUCACUAGAUUCAUAUACACGGGGAAAGUGUGCUGCAGUACAUCUCAAGCUUAAAGGAAUGGAACUGAGGAACUAGCAGCACUAGAGAAUAUACACCCCAAUUACGGUAUAAAAAAUAUAGUAUUUCAGCAUAUAAAGUUAGUAGAAUAGAAUAAGAGACCAUACUCCUGUGUCUUUCGAUUUCCAUUGAAUCCACCUCUCAGACUGUUAAAGGUCUAAUUUGUGCUGACUUACAAUGCUGCUUCGAGGCAGCCCCUGAUAGAAAGGGACUAAUGAAGCCUUUUGAAUGGAACUGAAAAGCUAGCAGCACUAAAUAAUAUAUAUACCUCAACUGUGGUAUAAGAUCGAUAGUAAUUCAAUAUGGAGGUAUAUAGGGUGAAAACACAAAGUAAAAAAAAGUUAUUUUCUAAUAUUGGAUUGUCAAAAUAUCCACCUCUCAAGCCGUUCAAAAAAUAAUCUGUGCUAGCCCUAAAUGUUGCUUCGAGGCAGCCCCUACUCUAAUGUACUCCUUGAAAGCAUUGUAAGAUAGUAGCUUGGCCUAUAGCAAAUACUACUACGAGCUUCUACCGGAUAUUUAAAGACAGUUAGAUCAGGUAAUGGGUAAGUUCCACACAUACUUAUGUCCACAGCACUUCUGCAUGCGGUAGCAAUAUUGAAGGACAACUGUAAUAAAAUUUUCAUGUUAAUUAUAUAUUUUUUCUAAAAUGAUAUAUACUGGGUUUUUUUCCAGAAAUUUCCCUUCUUAUAUCUGCAUUCUCCGUCCUCCACAUGUGGCCGGUGAUGGACAUGCAGGGGCACCUGGACGGACCUACCCAUGUUUUGAUGUGCAGGAGGCGUUGGAUCUGCAGACUCUUGAGUGGGGUUGCAUGGACCUAGUUUGUCUCUAAAUGAUCACUGUGCCAUCGGUGGACUGGUGUUCCAGCUUUGUGAACCUAAUUCAAAAGUGUGGGGUUGCGAAUUCCAUGUGUUACUAAGUGUUAUGCUCCUACUCUAUGUUGUGGGCCUUCAUGAGCUAUGCUUCAAUAAGCGAUCACGAGCCAUAUCAUAUUGCUGUCUACCACUCUAUUUUCUUCCAAGUCAAGCUGCAGCAAAGUUACCGUAUUUUUCGCUCCAUAAGACGCACCUCACCAUAAGACGCACCUAGUUUUUAGAGGAGGAAACCCAGAAAAAAAAA
Molecule: non-coding RNA, 1518 nt
Organism: Pelobates cultripes (western spadefoot toad)
Lineage: Eukaryota; Metazoa; Chordata; Amphibia; Anura; Pelobatidae
Source: the annotation of a GenBank genome assembly